RNAcentral lists this ribosomal RNA (380 nucleotides) under Homarinus capensis (Cape lobster). Its description in RNAcentral is "partial 16s rRNA". Lineage: Eukaryota; Metazoa; Arthropoda; Malacostraca; Decapoda; Nephropidae. The record is from RNAcentral.
GGUCGCAAACUUUUUUGUCGAUAUGAACUCUCAAAAUAAAUAACGCUGUUAUCCCUAAAGUAACUUAAAUUUUUAAUCACAACNAAUNGGAUCANCUAAAUACNNNNNNAAACAUCUUUGAAUUUAAAUUUUAAACAGUUACNNAAAUUAUAUUAUCGUCGCCCCAACGAAAUAAUUNUAACAUCUAAAUGAUAUUAUACUUACAAUUCAUCUAAUUAUAUGCAAAAUUAUUAAGCUUUAUAGGGUCUUAUCGUCCCUUUAAAAUAUUUAAGCCUUUUCACUUAAAAGUCAACUUUGAAUACUUUUUUCGAGACAGUUUGCUUCUUGUCCAACCAUUCAUACAAGCCUCCAAUUAAGANNCUAAUGACUAUGCUACCUUC